This 1441-nucleotide ribosomal RNA is filed under the name uncultured organism. RNAcentral describes it as "SSU rRNA". It matches the Rfam family "Bacterial small subunit ribosomal RNA". The record is from RNAcentral.
AGCUACAGGCUUAACACAUGCAAGUCGAGGGGCAUCAGGAAGAAAGCUUGCUUUCUUUGCUGGCGACCGGCGCACGGGUGAGUAACACGUAUCCAACCUGCCCUUUACUCGGGGAUAGCCUUUCGAAAGAAAGAUUAAUACCCGAUGGCAUAAUGAUUCCGCAUGGUUUCAUUAUUAAAGGAUUCCGGUAAAGGAUGGGGAUGCGUUCCAUUAGGUUGUUGGUGAGGUAACGGCUCACCAAGCCUUCGAUGGAUAGGGGUUCUGAGAGGAAGGUCCCCCACAUUGGAACUGAGACACGGUCCAAACUCCUACGGGAGGCAGCAGUGAGGAAUAUUGGUCAAUGGGCGCUAGCCUGAACCAGCCAAGUAGCGUGAAGGAUGAAGGCUCUAUGGGUCGUAAACUUCUUUUAUAUAAGAAUAAAGUGCAGUAUGUAUACUGUUUUGUAUGUAUUAUAUGAAUAAGGAUCGGCUAACUCCGUGCCAGCAGCCGCGGUAAUACGGAGGAUCCGAGCGUUAUCCGGAUUUAUUGGGUUUAAAGGGAGCGUAGGUGGACUGGUAAGUCAGUUGUGAAAGUUUGCGGCUCAACCGUAAAAUUGCAGUUGAUACUGUCAGUCUUGAGUACAGUAGAGGUGGGCGGAAUUCGUGGUGUAGCGGUGAAAUGCUUAGAUAUCACGAAGAACUCCGAUUGCGAAGGCAGCUCACUGGACUGCAACUGACACUGAUGCUCGAAAGUGUGGGUAUCAAACAGGAUUAGAUACCCUGGUAGUCCACACAGUAAACGAUGAAUACUCGCUGUUUGCGAUAUACAGUAAGCGGCCAAGCGAAAGCAUUAAGUAUUCCACCUGGGGAGUACGCCGGCAACGGUGAAACUCAAAGGAAUUGACGGGGGCCCGCACAAGCGGAGGAACAUGUGGUUUAAUUCGAUGAUACGCGAGGAACCUUACCCGGGCUUAAAUUGCAGUGGAAUGAUGUGGAAACAUGUCAGUGAGCAAUCACCGCUGUGAAGGUGCUGCAUGGUUGUCGUCAGCUCGUGCCGUGAGGUGUCGGCUUAAGUGCCAUAACGAGCGCAACCCUUAUCUUUAGUUACUAACAGGUCAUGCUGAGGACUCUAGAGAGACUGCCGUCGUAAGAUGUGAGGAAGGUGGGGAUGACGUCAAAUCAGCACGGCCCUUACGUCCGGGGCUACACACGUGUUACAAUGGGGGGUACAGAAGGCAGCUAGCGGGUGACCGUAUGCUAAUCCCAAAAGCCUCUCUCAGUUCGGAUCGAAGUCUGCAACCCGACUUCGUGAAGCUGGAUUCGCUAGUAAUCGCGCAUCAGCCACGGCGCGGUGAAUACGUUCCCGGGCCUUGUACACACCGCCCGUCAAGCCAUGGGAGCCGGGGGUACCUGAAGUACGUAACCGCAAGGAUCGUCCUAGGGUAAAACUGGUGACUGGGGCU